GAUGAACGCUGGCGGCGUGCCUAAUACAUGCAAGUCGAGCGAACAGACGAGGAGCUUGCUCCUCUGACGUUAGCGGCGGACGGGUGAGUAACACGUGGAUAACCUACCUAUAAGACUGGGAUAACUUCGGGAAACCGGAGCUAAUACCGGAUAAUAUAUUGAACCGCAUGGUUCAAUAGUGAAAGACGGUUUUGCUGUCACUUAUAGAUGGAUCCGCGCCGCAUUAGCUAGUUGGUAAGGUAACGGCUUACCAAGGCAACGAUGCGUAGCCGACCUGAGAGGGUGAUCGGCCACACUGGAACUGAGACACGGUCCAGACUCCUACGGGAGGCAGCAGUAGGGAAUCUUCCGCAAUGGGCGAAAGCUUGACGGAGCAACGCCGCGUGAGUGAUGAAGGACUUCGGAUCGUAAAACUCUGUUAUUAGGGAAGAACAAAUGUGUAAGUAACUAUGCACGUCUUGACGGUACCUAAUCAGAAAGCCACGGCUAACUACGUG
Molecule: ribosomal RNA, 497 nt
Filed under: uncultured bacterium
Lineage: Bacteria
Description: partial 16S ribosomal RNA
Rfam family: Bacterial small subunit ribosomal RNA
Source: RNAcentral